AGACGGUACCUGUGAAGGAAGCUCCGGCUAACUACGUGCCAGCAGCCGCGGUAAUACGUAGGGAGCAAGCGUUAUCCGGAAUUACUGGGUGUAAAGGGAGUGUAGGCGGGACUGUAAGUCAGAUGUGAAAUAUGCCGGCUCAACCGGCAGACUGCAUUUGAAACUGCGGUUCUUGAGUGAAGUAGAGGUAAGCGGAAUUCCUAGUGUAGCGGUGAAAUGCGUAGAUAUUAGGAGGAACAUCAGUGGCGAAGGCGGCUUACUGGGCUUUAACUGACGCUGAGGCUCGAAAGCGUGGGGAGCAAACAGGAUUAGAUACCCUG
Molecule: ribosomal RNA, 320 nt
Filed under: uncultured bacterium
Lineage: Bacteria
Description: bacterial SSU rRNA
Rfam family: Bacterial small subunit ribosomal RNA
Source: RNAcentral